RNAcentral lists this transfer RNA (94 nucleotides) under Mycobacterium intracellulare subsp. chimaera. RNAcentral describes it as "tRNA-His". The record is from RNAcentral. Lineage: Bacteria; Bacillati; Actinomycetota; Actinomycetes; Mycobacteriales; Mycobacteriaceae.
AGUUGCACUGGACCGGGCACGACGAUCCCGACGUCGUGAUCGUCGGCGAUCGCCGUGGUGACCUCAAAGCGUGGUUCGACACCCAUUCCGAUUC